CGUCCUCUGCCGUGUGCGACAGCGUGCCUAACAUUCGCCUUGUCCCAUACACACGACACGGGAAUCCAUGACCGGCGCGGUGUGCAUGUCCGUCCCGUGCGGAAAGCCUGAAGCGCCGGCCGCGGGUACCCACUUGAUCCUCGGGAUCAAGGUCGUUUCGCGCGCAUCGGCAUGGUGGAGGGCCU
This 185-nucleotide non-coding RNA is filed under the name Arenimonas fontis. Its description in RNAcentral is "6S / SsrS RNA". It matches the Rfam family "6S / SsrS RNA". From Rfam's summary of the family: E. coli 6S RNA was the first non coding RNA to be sequenced, but its function was unknown until recently. It consists of 184 nucleotides that fold into an extended hairpin structure with a large single-stranded internal bulge. The record is from Rfam by way of RNAcentral. Lineage: Bacteria; Pseudomonadati; Pseudomonadota; Gammaproteobacteria; Lysobacterales; Lysobacteraceae.